RNAcentral lists this ribosomal RNA (482 nucleotides) under uncultured bacterium. Its description in RNAcentral is "partial 16S ribosomal RNA". It matches the Rfam family "Bacterial small subunit ribosomal RNA", at positions 28 to 523 of the family's 1533-position model. The record is from RNAcentral.
GACGAACGCUGGCGGCGUGCUUAACACAUGCAAGUCGAACGAUGAAACCUAGCUUGCUAGGUCGAUUAGUGGCGAACGGGUGAGUAACACGUGACUAACCUGCCCCUUUCUCUGGGAUAACGCUCCGAAAGGAGUGCUAAUACCGGAUACUCACAUCGAGGCACAUGCCUUGGCGUGGAAAGUUUUUCGGAAAGGGAUGGAGUCGCGGCCUAUCAGCUUGUUGGUGAGGUAACGGCUCACCAAGGCGACGACGGGUAGCCGGCCUGAGAGGGCGACCGGCCAAACUGGGACUGAGACACGGCCCAGACUCCUACGGGAGGCAGCAGUGGGGAAUAUUGCACAAUGGGCGCAAGCCUGAUGCGGCGACGCCGCGUGAGGGAUGAAGGUCUUCGGAUUGUAAACCUCUUUCAGUAGGGACGAAGCGAAAGUGACGGUACCUAAAGAAGAAGCACCGGCUAACUACGUGCCAGCCGCCGCGGUAA